UUCUUCGGAGAGUUUGAUCCUGGCUCAGGAUGAACGCUGGCGGCGUGCCUAAUACAUGCAAGUCGAGCGAACUGAUUAGAAGCUUGCUUCUAUGACGUUAGCGGCGGACGGGUGAGUAACACGUGGGCAACCUGCCUGUAAGACUGGGAUAACUCCGGGAAACCGGAGCUAAUACCGGAUA
This 181-nucleotide ribosomal RNA is filed under the name Priestia flexa. Its description in RNAcentral is "Bacillus flexus partial 16S ribosomal RNA". It matches the Rfam family "Bacterial small subunit ribosomal RNA", at positions 1 to 175 of the family's 1533-position model. The record is from RNAcentral. Lineage: Bacteria; Bacillati; Bacillota; Bacilli; Caryophanales; Bacillaceae.